GGGUUGUGAGGUUAAGCGACUAAGCGUACACGGUGGAUGCCCUGGCAGUCAGAGGCGAUGAAGGACGUGCUAAUCUGCGAUAAGCGUCGGUAAGGUGAUAUGAACCGUUAUAACCGGCGAUUUCCGAAUGGGGAAACCCAGUGUGAUUCGUCACACUAUCAUUAACUGAAUCCAUAGGUUAAUGAGGCGAACCGGGGGAACUGAAACAUCUAAGUACCCCGAGGAAAAGAAAUCAACCGAGAUUCCCCCAGUAGCGGCGAGCGAACGGGGAGCAGCCCAGAGCCUGAAUCAGUGUGUGUGUUAGUGGAAGUGUCUGGAAAGGCGCGCGAUACAGGGUGACAGCCCCGUACACAAAAAUGCACAUACUGUGAGCUCGAUGAGUAGGGCGGGACACGUGGUAUCCUGUCUGAAUAUGGGGGGACCAUCCUCCAAGGCUAA
This 438-nucleotide ribosomal RNA is filed under the name Escherichia coli. RNAcentral describes it as "partial 23S ribosomal RNA". It matches the Rfam family "Bacterial large subunit ribosomal RNA", at positions 1 to 469 of the family's 2925-position model. Lineage: Bacteria; Pseudomonadati; Pseudomonadota; Gammaproteobacteria; Enterobacterales; Enterobacteriaceae. The record is from RNAcentral.